RNAcentral lists this ribosomal RNA (220 nucleotides) under uncultured bacterium. RNAcentral describes it as "partial 16S ribosomal RNA". It matches the Rfam family "Bacterial small subunit ribosomal RNA", at positions 57 to 305 of the family's 1533-position model. The record is from RNAcentral.
GCAAGUCGAGCGCAUCCUUCGGGAUGAGCGGCGGACGGGUUAGUAACGCGUGGGAACGUACCCUUUUCUACGGAAUAGCCUCGGGAAACUGAGAGUAAUACCGUAUACGCCCUUUGGGGGAAAGAUUUAUCGGAGAAGGAUCGGCCCGCGUUUGAUUAGAUAGUUGGUGGGGUAACGGCCUACCAAGUCUACGAUCAAUAGCUGGUUUGAGAGGAUGAUC